UUUUUUUCUUUUUUUUUAAUGUGGACUCUGAGAUCUUCCCUUGGGAAUGAGCAUUUUAGACACCCUAGCCCUGGAGUCUGACAGUAGGAGAGCUGGACCAAUUGACUGACUUGAAAACUAGUAGAACUGACAUCCAGGCUGUAAAAAACCUAGACUUCAUUCAUGAAGGGCUCACACACAGUCGCUCACUCCUGAAACAAAGUGGAAGCAGCAGAUUGAAACUGCCCAGGACUCUGGCUGGUUUCCUAUGACCACCCUAGCAUGUGCCCCAACCUGAGCAUUUUUUACAUAGUAACUAUGAAUGUUGUCAAGUUGUUUAACGUCCCUGUAUUUAUUUCCCCAUCUAUAAGGAAUAUAAUUAUCUUGAGCAGUUUUAUAAAGAGCAUAAAUAAUGUAUGCAAAGUGAACUGUACAAAUUGCUUCCAGGUAGAUGGAAGUUAUAAUGCCCAGGAAUAACUUCAGAAAAUAGUACCAUGAACCUGAAUGAAUUUUAACCAAAGAAAUACAGGCCUUCUCAAUAUGUAAAAUGUGGUCUUUAAUAACCUUAUGUAGCCAGGACCAGGAUUUCAUCCCUCAGGCCAACUCUAAAACUGCUUUAAUGAGUCAACAGCAAUGCUUUCAUAAUUAUGGCACCAUCCAACCCACCAUGCAAAUCUGUUAAGGUGUCUUUGUUGUUUUGAGGGGUUAGUAGGGUAAUGUGCCCUAUUAUCCAUUUACCAUUAGAAAAGCUGCAAAUGACUUUUACAGUAAAAAACACAUGACAAAAUUAAAAGCAAUUGGUUUGUCUAUAAUUUAUAACAUGUUCACUUAAAUAUAUACAUAUACAUAUACAUUUAAAUGUUUUCAAAACUUUGUGCGUAUUUACAGUCACCUAAGUACCUCUAAGACUUGUGGAUCAGAAUUUGAACAAAAGAUGUAUUUUGGAUGAAUUAUUUUAUAUAAAGAGAUAUCUUUAUUCAUUCAUACCUUGCAAGUAUUUUGCAGUGAAAUUCUUUUUAUGAUAUUUACAUUUUAACAUAACUAGUUUAUUCAGGUAUCUGUUUUCAUUUAUCUGGUUUCCAAUAGAUUCUCCACCCUAGAGGAUAAAAACUUUCUCUGCCAGCAGGGAAAAUCUAAUGCCCCCAAGUUUUGUUUGGUCAGGAAAGAAUUUUAAUACUGAUUAUUGGAAUUUCAGCACAUGUUAAGCAGGGCAGCAUUCUCCAGUGUACCAUUGCUCUAACAAUCCCUGUUUCUUUACUCCUUACUGGUAGCUUCUUCGUCUAUAAAGAUUUUAUUUUGCCAUCUUUGUCCUUCACCAUCACCAGAGUAUUCUCAAGAGUUCUAACUGGCUCCCCUAUUAGCCUUAUAUACACUCUGACAUGUCCUUCAGGGUCCUUUAUCUCCCUUUCAAUUUUGUUUCCCCAGGAAGGAAAAGGCAAUUAGCAUUUAUUGAGGAUGUAGUGCUUUGCAGACAUUGUGUUGUGUGUUGCAUUAAUUUACAUUUUUUGGUUCUCAUGAUAAUCUCAUAUUUAAAAAAUAAACAGAGGUUAAGAGAGUUUAAGGAACUUUGUCCAAAGUAGUAAUUGAUAAAGAAUUUAAACCAGGGCCUCCCUCACUUCAAAUCAUUUACUUUUUCCACUAUCCAAGUGGAGGAACAAUUGUGGUAGAAAUCCUAAGACAUAAAGAAUGUGUGAGUGCAGAGUAGAAUCAAGACCAUGUGAUAAACUGAACUGAUCAUGUUGCAUAGCUCUCACAUUGACGUUAACAAGGAAAUAAAGUCGGACAAUGGACAAUUAACAACAUACUCAGAAAACACUGUUAUAAGUACAUUUUUUUAUUUUUAUGAAUUAAUUUUUAUGGCCACACCUGGGCAUAUGGAAGUUCCCAGGUGAGGGGUUGAAUAGGAUCUGCAGCUGCAGAGCCUACACCACAGCUAUGGCAAUGCCUGAUAAGCCCAAUCUGUGACCUAUUCCUCAGCUCAUGCAAUGCCAGAACCCUAACCCACUGAGCGAGUUCAGGGAUCGAACCCACAUCUUCAUGGGCAUUGUGUUGUGUUCUUUACCUGCUAAGCCAUAAUAGGAACUCCUAUAUUUUUUAAAUGAUGGAAAACUAUGGGGUUAUAGGAUAAGUAGUUUAGAGAGGAAAAACAGCAAAUACACCAGAAAGCUCAAGUUCUUUGAGCUUGACAAAGAACCAAUGAGAAAGAGUAUAUAGGAAGGCACUUUCAGCCAACAUAAAUGGCUCUCUGAAGGCAGCCUGAGUCUGUAAAGGAAUUGAGAACUAAAGAUGCUGACAACAUAAAAUGUAGUUCAGGAUACCAGGCUCCAUUGACUUGAUAUGCUUUUUAAUUUAAGUACAAGUAACUAAGAAUGAACCCUCUGAGAACAGAAAACUAUAAAAUUUCAGCAUGCCUUUUCUCAUGGUUAUCUAAAAAUGCCUCUUUUUCUUUAAGAUUUUUUUUCUCAAAUCAUUUUUUUGUGCCGAAAUAAUAUUAUUUGUAACAAGUUUUUUAAAUGACUUGAGCCAUAUAUAUUGUUGCCAUGCAAAAUAUAGAUGUAAACCUGAGAAAUUAACAUUUACUCUUCCUUUCUUUUAACAACCAUGUAAUGAGCACCACCAGUUUUAUGCUGGGCUACCUCUGUGAGACCCAUAAAGAGGAAUAAUGAAGCAGCCAUUGAUCACAGGAGCUAACAAUUCAGCAGGGAAGGCAACAAGCACAAAUGCACACAGUAUCUACAGUUGUUACAAAGUGUACUUCAUGAGCGGUAUUGAGAAAUGGGGCUAAGAAAGGGAAAGAUCAAUUUGAUUUUGGAAUAUCAUGAAGAUUUCAUGAAGUCAGUAGAUAAAGCAGUGUUUGUAGACAAGCACAAUAGAAGACCAAGAUUUAAUCUGUUCUCAUUUCCUAUUUGCUGUUUAAAUCCCUAUACCUCAUUUGACCUUUCUCAUUUGUAACAGGAGAUUUAAAACUUUUAUCUUAAGGACAGAUUGUGUACCUAAAUAUAAAAGACAAAAAUUAAGGGGUUUAGGAAAAAAUUGCAGGUGAAAAUCUUUGUGAUCUUAGAAUAAGAAAAUUUUCCUUAAACAUUACACAAAGAUGAUAAGAACAUAUUAAUCUUUGGCCUUCAUCAACCAGUAAGAGAGUGGAAGACAAAAUGAACAGACCAGAAAAUGUGAAGAUACUGGUGAUACUGUUUCUGAAAAGUGACCCAUAUCUGGAAUAUUUUUAAAAAAUCCUACAGGAUUGAAUAAGGAAAAGACAUUGAAAAAUAAGUGAGAGACUUGCCAGUCACAUCACAAGACGGGAUGCCCGCUUGCCCCAUAAACAUGAAGAAUCUUCUACCUCAUUUAUUUUUGGAGAAAUGAAAAACAGAAUGACAGUAUAUGUGGUUUUACUAAAAGAGUGGAAGAGACAAGAAACUUCCAAAAGUUGAGGAUAUGGAGGAAUUAGAAUUCUCAUGCACUCUCUUUGGGAGUAUAAAUUGAUAAAACCACGUUGGAAGCUGUUUCACAGUUUCCAAUAAAGUGUAAGCUUAUCCUGUGACUCAGCAAUUCCAGCAUUAAGGAUAUACCGUUCUUUGUUUUCUAUUGCUACUGUAACAAAUAAGCACAUACUUAAUGCCUUAAAAUAACACAGAUAUUCCAACACAGUUCUUUAGAUCAAAAGCCUGUUCAGGUCUCUUUGGACUAAAAUAAAGGUGUCUUAUGUUCCUUUCUGCACACUCCAGGUUUGGGUACUUUCUGAAGACAUUCCCAACUUCUAGACCCUUUCUGCUUUCCUCAUGUCCUGGCCUCUUCCUCUAUAUUAAUGCCAGGAAUGUUGGAUUCUCUCUCUCCGUCUCUUUUGGUCUUUCACUCUUUGCCUGUCUCUCUUUGUAUCUUUAUGUUUCUCUCCCUCUAUCAGUCUCUCCUUUUCUCUCUCUGUUUUUCUUCCUGUCUUUCUCAUCCUGUUUUCUCUCUCUGUAUUUCUCUUUCUCCCAUCUUUCUCUCUCUCUCUUUCUCUGGCUCUGUCUCUCCCUCACUCAUUGUCACUAGGAAAGUUUUUCUGCUUUUAAAGACUCAUGUGAUCAAUCAAGCCAUUAACCCCAUCUCAAAGUUCUUGACUUACCCAGAUGUAUAAAGUUCUAUUAGUCAUGUAACAUACCGACACAUUUGAGGAUUGAGAAAGUAGAUAUAAAUUUCAAAAACAGGCAAAAUUAGUCAAUAUAUCAGAAACCAUGAUAGGGAGUACCCUCUUGGAGGAUGUGAUUUAUGACUGGAAGAGAACAUGGAUGGGGCAAUCUUCAGUGGUGAUAGAAUUGUUCUGUUUCUUAUCCUAGGCACUGGGUAAAUUUGUUUAGUUUGUGAAAAUUAUGUGUGUUAGCUUAAUUACUACAUUUUAAAAAUCUGUUGUCCUAGCUUCACGGAGCAGUAGAUAUAAUAACCAAAUUACAUAGCAAUAUCAAAAAUUGUCUUUAUUAGACUCUACUGUUUCACAGAUGUUCUAUUAAAUGUGUUUCUGUUCGCAGAUAUUAGCCCCAUUUAACAAAAGAAGGGGCUGAGAAUCAGAUGUGUAUUAAGUAGCAUAGCUAAUAAAGGUCAUCAGUACCUUGACUUAAACCAAGGCUCAUACUUAAAAGCCUUUGAGUUUCAUUCUAUGACAUUGGGAUCAGGAGAAUCUCUUAGAUCUGUAGAAUUCGUGGCAAGCCUGGAAUGUGGAUAGUCAAUACAAAAGCACUCUAAGAUCUAGAUAUAUUAUAUGAAAAUUAAAAAUGCUAAGAAAGUCUAAACAAUAAUGCAGAUGUCAUUCAAUUAUUAUUAAGAAAUUUAAAGACAGCACAGUGUAUUCAGUGGAAAUAUGAAAAGACUCAGAGUCUGAGGCAAUAACUCAUUUGAGUUUAUCUGCCUCUUUUAAGCACCUUGCCUCCAUUCUCCCGAUUUGAUUUGUUUAACCUCCAAUUGAAGAACUCAGCACCAUACAGGCCAUAGGUUCCUAAUCCAUGUAGUAAUUACUAUCUGUCAAAGACUCUACUACCAGCAAAUGGAAGGCUUUCAUGGCUCUCAUAUUUCCUGACCUGAUGAGAACUGGAUCAGAAGCCUAUGGUCUACAUGGUACCACAUAGACCUUUCCUAGGGUUGUUCGUAUCAUGGCUUUCCCCUAGAGCUAGUGGUGAUAAGAGAGAAUGAGGGCGAGAGUGAGAGCAAGAAAGCAAGAGAGAAAGAACAGUCAAAUGCCUUUUGUAGCCAGUCUCGAAAGUGACAAGUCACCACUUCUGCCAUAUUCUCUUGGCCACACAGACCAACUCCAGUACAUUGUAGGAGGGGAUUAUACAAAGUAUGUAGACCAAGAGGAGAGGAUCACUGGGAACCCACUUGGAGGCUUGUUAGUCGUUAUUAUGGAUGUAAUAUUUACAAAGCAAACAAACACUGGAGACACUAGCAGGCAAUAUUGGGUACUAUUAAAAAUACAGCAUUUGUGGAGUUCCCAUUGCGGUGCAGCUGUUAACAAAUCUGACUAGGAACCAUGGGGUUGAGGGUUCGAUCCCUGGCCUAGCUCAGUGGGUUAAGGAUCCAGCAUUGCCAUGAGCUGUGGUGUAGGCUGCAUGGCUCAGAUCUGGUGUUGCUAUUGCUGUGGUUGUGGUGUAGUCCAGCAGCUGUAGCUCCCAUUCAACCCCUAGCCUGGGAACUUCCAUAUGCCAUGGAUGUGGCCCCC
This 5668-nucleotide long non-coding RNA is filed under the name Sus scrofa (pig). RNAcentral describes it as "lncRNA (ENSSSCG00060050430.1)". Lineage: Eukaryota; Metazoa; Chordata; Mammalia; Artiodactyla; Suidae. The record is from RNAcentral.